UCCAUCAAAAUGAGAUGUCUAAAAGCAUCUAUGUCAAUAUCAGUGCUCAACAGAAAUCCACCUCAUCUUCCAUCUGGCAGAACCAGUCACCUGGUACCUGUGUGGCUGAUGUCAUCACAUUUCCUGCUGAAUAGAGGACUUUAUAGGGAAUGAGACACUCCAAGAUAUCUCUACUCUUGUACUCUGGAACAAACAUUUGCUCGGCAUUUGCUCAGCUUCGGAAGCCGAAAGGCAGAUUUCAAAGCUUUCCUGUUCUUCCAUUGAAGUCCCUCAAGGUUGAGAAGGGCAACUAGAAUCUCCAUGCAUUGAAGCACAGCUCUUCCAGGGCAGUCGCUGUGACAGAGAGAGCGAAUGGGCACAAACAAGAAGGGAUUCGCAGACAAUGGACUGAGACACAUUUUCUAUCUUCUUGUCUCAGACUGGCAUAAAAUGUUCUUAGCGUUUUCCUGAUGAUGCAUCCUCAUAAUGGCUUAUUUGGACACCUGCUGUGAAUGGCAAGCUUGAGUGUCUCUGAGUGGCUUCUCAAACAAUUAUACUAUUUCCUCUGU
This is a long non-coding RNA of Mastomys coucha (southern multimammate mouse), 548 nucleotides long. RefSeq lists it as uncharacterized. The record is from RefSeq and is a predicted model, not a curated record. The transcript has 2 exons. Lineage: Eukaryota; Metazoa; Chordata; Mammalia; Rodentia; Muridae.